AUUGAACGCUGGCGGCAUGCUUUACACAUGCAAGUCGGACGGCAGCACAGAGAAGCUUGCUUCUUGGGUGGCGAGUGGCGAACGGGUGAGUAACAUAUCGGAACGUACCGAGCUGUGGGGGAUAACUAAUCGAGAGAUUAGCUAAUACCGCAUAUCCUCUGAGGAAGAAAGCAGGGGACCAUUUGGCCUUGCGCUGUUUGAGCGGCCGAUAUCUGAUUAGCUAGUUGGUGGGGUAAAGGCCUACCAAGGCGACGAUCAGUAGCGGGUCUGAGAGGAUGAUCCGCCACACUGGGACUGAGACACGGCCCAGACUCCUACGGGAGGCAGCAGUGGGGAAUUUUGGACAAUGGGCGCAAGCCUGAUCCAGCCAUGCCGCGUGUCUGAAGAAGGCCUUCGGGUUGUAAAGGACUUUUGUCAGGGAAGAAAAGGGCGGGGUUAAUACCCCUGUCUGAUGACGGUACCUGAAGAAUAAGCACCGGCUAACUACGUG
RNAcentral lists this ribosomal RNA (490 nucleotides) under uncultured bacterium. Its description in RNAcentral is "partial 16S ribosomal RNA". It matches the Rfam family "Bacterial small subunit ribosomal RNA", at positions 30 to 507 of the family's 1533-position model. The record is from RNAcentral.